ACCACCUGGAAAAGGAGGGAGAAAAUGAGUUGUCUGCAGGACACAGUGGACCAUGGAAGAGCCCCUCAGGAGGAUGGUGUCAGCUUCUGCAUGGAGAUCCUGUGGAUUCAGCUGCUUUCAGAAGUGAACUGGAAAUAAUCCCUCAAAGUACCUGCUUUGAAGUAUCUCAUUGUACAGACAGAAACAUGAGAACCUGGGAGGCAGUGAGCACAAACGGAGGAACAGGCUGUCUGACAUGAAAGCUCUAAGGAAGAAGCAAUCUCCACAGUCACUGGAAGAGAGGAAGCAAUUCUAG
This is a long non-coding RNA of Apus apus (common swift), 295 nucleotides long. RefSeq lists it as uncharacterized. The record is from RefSeq and is a predicted model, not a curated record. NCBI's taxonomy places the organism in Eukaryota, Metazoa, Chordata, Aves, Apodiformes, Apodidae. The transcript is spliced from 3 exons.